CUCCUGUUUUUCGUCACACAUGGUUUUCGGCACGAGAAAAAAACACGUUCGUUUCAAACCACUACUGCACAAAUACUAUAAUAGUGACGAAAACGUGUUUUGGUACGUGCAUAGAUAAGAUAUCUAGAUACCCAACGCAUUACUCGUUUUUUUCACUAUCCAUCCAGGGCGCCCUAUAGGCGGGCAGUCUCGUUGUUUAAUAG
Molecule: non-coding RNA, 203 nt
Organism: Cinara cedri
Lineage: Eukaryota; Metazoa; Arthropoda; Insecta; Hemiptera; Aphididae
Source: the annotation of a GenBank genome assembly